This 1420-nucleotide ribosomal RNA is filed under the name Strumigenys mutica. RNAcentral describes it as "partial 28S ribosomal RNA". It matches the Rfam family "Eukaryotic large subunit ribosomal RNA", at positions 364 to 1413 of the family's 3401-position model. The record is from RNAcentral. Lineage: Eukaryota; Metazoa; Arthropoda; Insecta; Hymenoptera; Formicidae.
UUGAAAAGAACUUUGAAGAGAGAGUUCAAGAGUACGUGAAACCGUUCAGGGGUAAACCUAAGAAACCCAAAAGAUCGAACGGGGAGAUUCAUCGUCAGCGACGUUGGCUUCACGUCGGUGGGCGAUGUCGCGCGGGGCCUCGCGGCUCGCGCGCUGACACGCUGCCGUGCGUCGAUGUCCGGCGUUCGUCGUCGUGCACUUCUCCCCUAGUAGAACGUCGCGACCCGCUGGGUGUCUGUCUACGGCCCGGGUGCGGUGACUGACGCGUCGCCGGUAAAACGGUACGCCGUCAAACCCUCGGUCACCCGGCCGGCUGCCCGGCGGUACACGCAAGGUAUCAGGCCGCAGAUCUCUCUCUCUCACGAGAAAGAGUAUGCGUCGAGGCCGUUGCAAGCGCGCGCCACGGUACACGGAGGUUAACGGACCUAGUGCCGUCACCGGUCCUGGCCCGCUGCUGGUUUUACGGUUCCACCUUCGACAGGCCUACAAACGUCCCCCCCCACCAGGCGGGGACCGAUACCGGUCGGCGACGCUACUGCUUUGGGUACUCUUAGGACCCGUCUUGAAACACGGACCAAGGAGUCUAACAUGUACGCGAGUCAUUGGGACUAGCGAGUGAAACCUAAAGGCGUAAUGAAAGUGAAGGUCGUCCCUGGUUGUCGACCGAGGGAGGAUGGGCCGCGACAACGCGGCUCCGCACUCCCGGGGCGUCUCGUUCUCAUUGCGAGAAGAGGCGCACCCAGAGCGUACACGUUGGGACCCGAAAGAUGGUGAACUAUGCCUGGUCAGGACGAAGUCAGGGGAAACCCUGAUGGAGGUCCGUAGCGAUUCUGACGUGCAAAUCGAUCGUCGGAACUGGGUAUAGGGGCGAAAGACUAAUCGAACCAUCUAGUAGCUGGUUCCCUCCGAAGUUUCCCUCAGGAUAGCUGGCACUCGGCCGUUCCGCACGGAACGCGCGCGAGUCUCAUCUGGUAAAGCGAAUGAUUAGAGGCCUUGGGGCCGAAACGACCUCAACCUAUUCUCAAACUUUAAAUGGGUGAGAUCUCUGGCUUUCUUGAACUAUGAAGCCACGAGCAUCUCGGAUCAGAGUGCCAAGUGGGCCAUUUUUGGUAAGCAGAACUGGCGCUGUGGGAUGAACCAAACGCAGAGUUAAGGCGCCCAACUCGACGCUCAUGGGACACCAUGAAAGGCGUUGGUUGCUUAAGACAGCAGGACGGUGGCCAUGGAAGUCGGAAUCCGCUAAGGAGUGUGUAACAACUCACCUGCCGAAGCAACUAGCCCUGAAAAUGGAUGGCGCUGAAGCGUCGAGCCUAUACUCUGCCGUCAGCGGCAAGUGGGGCGGUCGCGUGCGCUUGUGCGUACGCGUCGCCACGAAGCCCUGACGAGUAGGAGGGUCGCGGCGGUGUGCGCAGAAGGGUCU